Molecule: ribosomal RNA, 220 nt
Filed under: uncultured bacterium
Lineage: Bacteria
Description: partial 16S ribosomal RNA
Rfam family: Bacterial small subunit ribosomal RNA
Source: RNAcentral
GCAAGUCGAGCGCUCUCUUCGGAGGGAGCGGCGGACGGGUUAGUAACGCGUGGGAAUGUACCCUUCUCUAUGGAAUAGCCAUUGGAAACGAUGAGUAAUACCAUAUACGCCCUUCGGGGGAAAGAUUUAUCGGAGAAGGAUCAGCCCGCGUUAGAUUAGAUAGUUGGUGGGGUAAUGGCCUACCAAGUCUACGAUCCCUAGCUGGUCUGAGAGGAUGAUC